AACGCGAAGAACCUUACCUGGAUUUGACAUCUCCUGACAGCCGUAGAGAUACGGUUUCUGUAGCAAUACAGCAGGAAGACAGGUGCUGCAUGGCUGUCGUCAGCUCGUGUGGUGACAUGUUGGGUUAAGUCCCGCAACGAGCGCAACCCUUGUCCUUAGUUGCCAGCAUUCAGUUGGGCUCUCUAGGGAGACUGCCGUGGUGAACACGGAGGAAGGUGGGGAUGACGUCAAGUCCUCAUGGCCUUUAUAUCCAGGGCGACACACGUGAUACAAUGGACGGUACAAAGGGAUGCCAAGUGGUAACACGGAGCUAAUCUCAAAAAAGCCGUUCUCAGUUCGGAUUGGAGUCUGCAACUCGACUCCAUGAAGUUGGAAUCGCUAGUAAUCGCGGAUCAGCACGCCGCGGUGAAUACGUUCCCGGGCCUUGUACACACCGUAGAGAC
This 443-nucleotide ribosomal RNA is filed under the name uncultured bacterium. RNAcentral's name for it is "bacterial SSU rRNA". It matches the Rfam family "Bacterial small subunit ribosomal RNA", at positions 958 to 1400 of the family's 1533-position model. The record is from RNAcentral.